AGUAGGUUAAUUAAGAGCUUAUGGGGAAUGCCUAGGCUCACAGAGGCGAUGAAGGACGUGAUAAGCUGCGAUAAGCUGCGGGGAAUGGCACAUACAUGUUGAUCCGCAGAUUUCCGAAUGGGGCAACCCAGCAUGUUGAAGACAUGUUACCCGACUUUGUCGGGAGCAAACUCAGGGAACUGAAACAUCUAAGUACCUGAAGGAAGAGAAAACAAAAGUGAUUCCGUUAGUAGCGGCGAGCGAACGCGGAACAGCCCAAACCAGUGUUGUUACGGCAAUACUGGGGUUGUAGRACCACGACAUUUGAUGCUUGAUGAAUUGGAAUCCUCUGGAAAGUGAACCAUAGCGGGUGGUAGUCCCGUAC
RNAcentral lists this ribosomal RNA (364 nucleotides) under uncultured Flavobacteriaceae bacterium. RNAcentral's name for it is "bacterial LSU rRNA". It matches the Rfam family "Bacterial large subunit ribosomal RNA", at positions 1 to 378 of the family's 2925-position model. Lineage: Bacteria; Pseudomonadati; Bacteroidota; Flavobacteriia; Flavobacteriales; Flavobacteriaceae. The record is from RNAcentral.